RNAcentral lists this ribosomal RNA (661 nucleotides) under Irpex laceratus. Its description in RNAcentral is "eukaryotic LSU rRNA". The stretch from base 248 to 401 matches the Rfam family "5.8S ribosomal RNA". Lineage: Eukaryota; Fungi; Basidiomycota; Agaricomycetes; Polyporales; Irpicaceae. The record is from RNAcentral.
GAAGUAAAAGUCGUAACAAGGUUUCCGUAGGUGAACCUGCGGAAGGAUCAUUAUCGAGUUUUGAACGGGUUGUAGCUGGCCUUUAACGAGGUAUGUGCACGCCUGGCUCAUCCACUCUCAACCUCUGUGCACUUUAUGUAAGAAACGGUGUAAGCCAGCUAUUUAAUAGUCGGUAAUAAGCCUUUCUUAUGUUUACUACAAACGCUUCAGUUAUAGAAUGUUUACUGUGUAUAACACAAUUAUAUACAACUUUCAGCAACGGAUCUCUUGGCUCUCGCAUCGAUGAAGAACGCAGCGAAAUGCGAUAAGUAAUGUGAAUUGCAGAAUUCAGUGAAUCAUCGAAUCUUUGAACGCACCUUGCACUCCUUGGUAUUCCGAGGAGUAUGCCUGUUUGAGUCUCAUGGAAUUCUCAACCCCUAAAUUUUGUAAUGAAGUUUAGUGGGCUUGGACUUGGAGGUUGUGUCGGCUUCUAGUCGACUCCUCUGAAAUGCAUUAGCGUGAAUCUUACGGAUCGCCUUCAGUGUGAUAAUUAUCUGCGCUGUGGUGUUGAAGUAUUUAUUAGUUCGUGCUUAUAAUCGUCUCUUACCGAGACAAUUUAUGACAAUCUGAGCUCAAAUCAGGUAGGACUACCCGCUGAACUUAAGCAUAUCAAUAAGCCGGA